GUUUGGGGGCUGCAGCUCUGCUGGAUUUAAGCAGUGCCCGAUGUUUUGUGGCCCUUUCAGGGCUGGAGGAGCCAUCGUGGCAGUGCCUGGGCAGGAUGAGCUGCUGCCCAGCAAACAGGGGAAACUCCAGCUCCUCCUGAGCACCACGGCUCUAACGAGACUGCUCAGCUGCCUGCAGGCAGCAGCCCCAGGGUAUCUUUCAUCCCUCCUCAGUAAGGAUGCAGAUGAUGGUCACAAGAGUAGGUUGGUGUCUGCCUUUGCUGGGAGGGACUGGCUGUGGAGGGAGGAGACAGCUCCCUAAACCAUCAGGACCCUCAGCAGUGCCAGGUGUGUCACCAAGUGCCCCCAACACCUCCCUCUCUGCACUCCCCUCACUGCAUUGCUGCCCAAGCAGGAAGGAGUCCACUUGAGACCAGAACUGAAGUUUUCAUUGCACCUGAUGCUGAUGACUGAUCAUGGAAAAGCAGGGCUCUCUGUCUGGCUGCUUCCCUGUGACAGUCCUGAAGGAAGCUACCUUCCCUUCCCUCAGUCCUGAAGGAAGUCAGGCUGGAAGCCUCUCUCACCAGUUCACAGGAAGGUAGUGCUGACUUCUGGAAACACAACGAAAUAGGGAAGGACUGUGCUGUGGUUUGCCAGAGCUCUUUUUUUCCUGAUGGACAUCCUCUUCAUUUGUUUUAGCCUUUCAAAAGCAACUUGAUGCACUCCAGGCAACGAUCCUCAUCCUUCAGCAUGUUGUCAAGGUGCUCACUGCCAGCCUUCAGCUCCAUUUCCAGAGGCACUGUGGUCAU
Corapipo altera (White-ruffed manakin) is the source of this 788-nucleotide long non-coding RNA. RefSeq lists it as uncharacterized. The record is from RefSeq and is a predicted model, not a curated record. NCBI's taxonomy places the organism in Eukaryota, Metazoa, Chordata, Aves, Passeriformes, Pipridae. The transcript has 7 exons.